RNAcentral lists this ribosomal RNA (439 nucleotides) under uncultured bacterium. RNAcentral's name for it is "partial 16S ribosomal RNA". It matches the Rfam family "Bacterial small subunit ribosomal RNA", at positions 338 to 795 of the family's 1533-position model. The record is from RNAcentral.
CCUACGGGUGGCAGCAGUGGGGGAUAUUGCACAAUGGAGGAAACUCUGAUGCAGCGACGCCGCGUGAGGGAAGACGGUCUUCGGAUUGUAAACCUCUGUCUUUGGGGAAGAAAAUGACGGUACUCAUAGAGGUAGCUCUGGCCAACAACGUGCCAGAAGCCGCGGUAGUACGCGGGGAGCGAGCGUUGUCCGGAAUUACUGGGUGUAGGGGGAACGUAGGCGGGUGUGAGGGUUGAAGGGUAAUUCUAUGGGUGUAACUUGGAAUUGCGUUUGAAACUUGUUGGCUUGAGUGACGUAGAGGCAGGCGGAAUUCCUAGUGUAGCGGUGAAAUGCGUAGAUAUGAGGAGGAACACCAGUGGCGAAGGCGGCCUGCUGGGCUAUGACUGACGCUGAGGCGCGAAAGCGUGGGGAGCAAACAGGAUUAGAUACCCCUGUAGUC